Molecule: non-coding RNA, 23 nt
Filed under: Cricetulus griseus (Chinese hamster)
Lineage: Eukaryota; Metazoa; Chordata; Mammalia; Rodentia; Cricetidae
Source: RNAcentral
GUGUUGGGCAAUGAACACGGCUG